RNAcentral lists this long non-coding RNA (829 nucleotides) under Gallus gallus (chicken). The record is from RNAcentral. Lineage: Eukaryota; Metazoa; Chordata; Aves; Galliformes; Phasianidae.
CUGAGGCCCAAAGGAGCCCAACUGGGGGUGACCGAAGGCCCCGAGGGCAGCCAAGGCCCGAAGGAGCUUUGGCCAAGGCCCCAAAUGGCGCCCAAAGCCCCAAAAUGGCAAGCAGGACUCAAAGGAGCCCAAACUGAUGGUGACUGAGUCCCCAAAAGAGCUUUGCCCACAGCCCCAAAAUGGCGCCCAUGGCCCCAAAUGGUGCCCAAGGCCCAAAGGAGCCAAACUGGUGGUGCCCAAAGCCCCACACGGCGGCCAAGACCCCACAGCGUCAACCAAGGCCCCAUACGGUGGCCGAGGCCCCAAAACGGCACCUUCUGCCAAGCCCCAAAACGGCGGUCAGGACCCCAAACGGUGACCGAAGGCAAAAUGGUGGAGGGGACCAACGCCGCAAGCGAUGCCCAACACGGCGCCUCACACCGAGGCCUCACCAGCACCGACCCACGGCGCAGCCCCCAUGUCCCCGGGUGACCCCGCUGUGCCCCCCUGCCCGGUGCGGUCAUAGCUCAUCGCGGGCGGUGCUGUCGAGGGGGGACUGCAGCACGUCCGAGUUUUUGGCCUCCCGGCGCAGCUCCUGCUGCUCUUUCAUCUUCUGGGACUUGGCGCGAUCCCAGUCCGUCUUGAUCUUCUCGUUGUCCCACACCACAGACGUCUCCGUGUCGCUGAUGUAGCCGUCGUCGCCGGUGUAGUGAGUGGGAUAAACCAGCAGCGGCUCCACCGAAAAGGCCAGCAGGUUGCGGGUCUUGAAGUGCUUCAUGUAGUCGGAGACGGGAUGUUUGUUGAACAUGAUGGGGAGGAAUUCAUCGACGGGCAGCAUUUUGGACAGCGG